UUGAUAUCAUCUAGAAUUUUAAUUCUUUAUACUUUUGAUAUUAUUUAUUAUUCUUCAGUAAGAAUACACUUUUGAUUUUCUUAUUCUUUUAAAAAUUUUGAUAAUUAUUUGUUUAGACAACUCUACUGAGUUAUUUUCUCAUGCUUACUUCUAAAAUCCCAGAGUUUUCUUGGAUUUACUUUUUUUGCUAGAAUAUUCCUUCCUGGAAUAUUUUCAAAGGGUCUCUGUGUGGUUAACCUUCUAAGUCCUUGUAUUCCUGAGAAUAUCAUCAUUUCAUUCUUAGAUGAUAAUUUAGCUGGAUUUGAAAUUCUGGAUUUGAAGUUCCUUUUGCACUUUGAAAAUAUUGCUUCAUUGUCUUUUUAUAUCUAGGGUUAAUGAUGAGGAAUAUUUUUGUCAAUCUGAUUCUUCUUACUUUGAGUCUGAUUGACUCUUACUCUCUGGAAGCAGUUCACGUGUUCUCUUAGCCUCUGAUGCCCUCAAAUUUCACUAUAUUGAAUGCAUCCAGGUAUGGGGUUUUUUCCUUAAUUAACCCUUCUGGCACCAAAUGAGUAUUUUCUAUCUGAGGUGUUACAUCUUUAUUGCAAUUUUGGGAAAUUUUCAGUAGUAAUUUCUUCCAGUACUUCCCCCUCCAUUUUUUUUUCUCCUUUAGGGUCUCCUACUGUGAUGUCAGCGGCUCUCUUUGUCAUCCCACCUCUUAGUCCCGGCCAAAGUCUCCUCAGAAUGCCCUGCACAGUGCUCUGGCUGUGUAAUUUCUCCUCGGCUGGGUUUCAAACCCUGUAUUGAGUUCUUUCUUUUAAUUGAAACAAUUUUCAACCCCUGUAGCUGUGGUUCUUUCAUUUUAAAAAUUAUAACUGCUUGUCCUGCUUCAUAAUUUCAGUAUUCUCCCUUCUCUUUGAGGAUAUGUACUCUGCGUCGUUUAGAUUCCUUGUCUGAAUCCAUUAAUCUGCUUCUUCUGGAGAAGGUCAUUCAAUGAGCUCCUUUAUUAACGGCUCAUUAUUUCCCCUGCAAGCCCUUUCCUGUGAAGACAUGUCAGGGGCGCUCCGGGAUGUUCUGUCCUCCACCGUGGGCUCCCGCAGGGGUGGCCGGCUGAGGUUGCUGUGACCCUCGGUAAUGGGCAGGAGCAGGUCGUCCCGGGGCGCCGUGGGGUCAGGGGCAGGGAGAGGCUGAGCACCCCUGGUCCCCUGUCCUGCUCUGGCUGAGGAUCGUCCGCCACAGCGCCCCAGGAGUCGCAGGGCCUCAGUGGUGGGUUCAGGGUCCACCAGCCCCUGCUCCUGUUGGCUCGGCAUGCGGCAUGGGCCGCGUUUCCUGGGGCUGCUUCCACCUGCCCACCCGACUGACCGACAGCGUCUGGGGGACACACUGCGACGUGUCCCCGUGGCGGCCCCAUGAGCCUCGUCUGUGAGCGGGGGUUUCUGUUUCCUCAUCUGGGCAGGGAAAGGACCUUCCCACGGGCCUAACUGGUGCAGGUGCAGCGAGAGGCUGGGCAGGGACAGCAGCCUGCUGCAGGUGGGUCCUGCUUGUCACUGCUGCUGUGCUUACUGCCCAGUGCAGACCCGAGGCCUGUCCCCGUGGGAAGGACGGGAAGUGCCUGUCUCCAGACUUCACUCAGUCCACGGUGGCGUUUUCCGCACUCCAUCUGGCUGCUGCCCCCUGCCCGCAGGUGCUGCCUUCCUAACCCGGUGAACGCUAGAGGGGAGCUGCAGAAAGUUCCCGUCGGCUGAGACAGUUUCUCCAGGGCUGGCAGAGCUGGCUGCACCGGGAUCCUGGCUGGGGUCCUCGCCUCAGGCAGUCUUCAGCCGGUGGGGUGCAGCAGGGGCUGGCACAUCAGCGUCAGCCUCAGCGAUGCGGAAACAGGACAGGGUGACAAAUGCCGGUAAGCCCAUGGCUGGUGCACACAGCCGGAGGCCACGCAUGUCACGGGGAGUGUGGUGGCACCUGCCCCCAGCAUAGUUUCAAGCCCCUACUAAGGACAACAAGCAACAAAUCUAUGAGAUAGCUCGAGCCAGGCAAAGCGCUAAGGGCUCUGCCUGGAUUAUCCCUUUCACCACUGGAAAGCCAUGUCAUGGGCCCAGUGUUGCUUCCAGCAGGCAGGGACAGAACCUGAGAAUUAGAGAGGACUGGCCUGGGUUCACACGGAAAGCGAGGCGCCGAGUGGCCCCGACUCCCGGGCCUUGGGCCUGGCAGCUGCUGCAGAGCUCCUCUGGACACUGAUCCGUUUGGAGGGCGGCUGCCCCGGACAGAUGGACCACAGCUCACCACCUGAAGAACGGCUCGUGCGAUGUUUUUGAAUUGCCGAUUUAGUGGCCCUCUAUCCGUGUGAGCGUCCAGUGCUGGAGGAUUUAGGUGAAACAAAGCAAAGGCAGGGGACAUGCAGGGAGAGUCCUGGGCGGUUUCCUUCCUUCCACCGCAUCCCCGGCGUCGUCCUCCUGCCUCUUGGUGAUGAGCCAGAGCAUGUCACGGGUGGACGUGGGGCUGCACCUGCAGGUACAGCGGCAGGACCUGAGAAACAACCACUCAUGAGCCUCGGAAGGUUGAGCUGCUGGUUUCGCUGAACUGGUGACUGAGGGUGGAACUUUCACUUCGACUUUCUAUUGCAUUUUUCGUAUUUUCCUCAUUCCGGUUUGAGGAUCUGGGGCUAGUCUUUUGGAUCUGUUUUACCCAUUCAUGCUCUUUCUUUCUUUUUUAAAAACGUCUUAUUUUGAAAUACUUUCAAGCUUAUAGGACAGUUGCAAAAAUAAUUCAGAACUCAUAAGAGAAUGUACGUCCCCUCCCCCCGGCCUGGACACCAAGAUCCACCAGUUCAACAUUUCUCAGCUGCGCUGUUUCUUUUUGAAGCGGAGGGAGUGGAAAGCUUCGAGCCAGGCAUCCUGCCUGUGCCUGUGUAGCCAGGCGAAGAAAAAGAGGGCAUCUCCUGCUGAAAGAAGUUUGGCAGUUUGGAUCAGACAUCCUUUGGGUGCCAUCCAGCUCCAAGGGCCUGCUGCAGUCUGCAGCCCCCACAUACCACCGAGGGGCUCUGACCAUCUCCCUCUGUCUGAAACCGGGGAGUGGAACCACGCAGGCCGCCUGUCGCCCAGGGCUCAGGUGGGUUGGCCUCACCUGGUGAGAGCCGUGGGGCCUCCCGCACAGGCCCGGGAAGCAGCCGCACGGCCGGGACCUCCGCCGGCAGCCAGGUGGGCACCAGCUUUCUCCCUCCCAGCUCUCGGUUAUGCUCGGCCCCAGGAGGCACCAUGCACCCCGCAGUGACCCCACAGGGGCCUCCCUGCCCUGGAGGAAACCGAGGAUGGUGGGACGCUGUGGUGGCCGAGACCCCCGGCUUCUCCGCCACCUGCUCUGAGGACUGCCGAGUGCUGGCCCACUGGGCCCGGGGCCCCACGCCACUGGGGAGCCGUCCAUUUUGGGGCCUUCCCUGGGGUGGCGGGGUGCCCUGAGCUUCCCGCAGGCCGGGCUGCCUCGUUUGCUCCUUCUCCCGCACGCAGCACCUUCCAGGUGAGGACAAUGACCCUCGGGGCCGCCUGGAGGCCGGGAAGGAGCUGAGGGACAGAGGGGCCAUGGAAACACAGUGGCCCACCUUGUCCUCUCGGACCCAGGGGCCAGGGAGGGGCCAGCUCAGGUGCAAAAAUUAUCACGGGCUUUUGGUGUUAAUUUUGAUGUUUUUAAACAUUGCAUUAAAUACCUGCAUCUGGAUUUUUUUAA
Long non-coding RNA from Choloepus didactylus (southern two-toed sloth), 3693 nucleotides. RefSeq lists it as uncharacterized. The record is from RefSeq and is a predicted model, not a curated record. Lineage: Eukaryota; Metazoa; Chordata; Mammalia; Pilosa; Megalonychidae. The transcript has 2 exons.